Molecule: long non-coding RNA, 634 nt
Filed under: Mus pahari (shrew mouse)
Lineage: Eukaryota; Metazoa; Chordata; Mammalia; Rodentia; Muridae
Description: lncRNA (MGP_PahariEiJ_G0012567.1)
Source: RNAcentral
AACGAAUUUGAAUGAGGAGUCUCAGCGCUUUCGGCGCCAUUUUCGAGUGAUGCCUGAUCUCAUCAAUCUAGCGGGAGGGAAGGGAUAACCUGUCCGAGCGUAGCGCGACGCUAGGAUCGCGCCGGAAAACCCCCCAAAAAAUCAUCAAAAAAUUUAACUUAGACCAAAGGGCAGUCGGCGGGGCUUCGCCAGAUGCGGCGCAGUCGGUAAGAGCCUCAAGUAGCGAAGAGGGUCUCGGGAGGCGGCCGCGAUGGGACCGGAGGACCGUGAGGGGAACAGGGACGGGGCUCGGGGGUCUGCCCUCACUUUGGCGGCAGAAGCUUCCCCCGGGGGAUCCGGCCGCUAUUCUAACUGUUAGAAGAGUACCAAUUCUGGAAAACAACCAAAGUUUCUUUGAAUGAAUGCCCACGUAAUGCAUUGGAAUAUAAUAAGAGAUUAAGGUUUAACAAUGUUAAAAUGAAGAUAUUACUAAAAUGGCCCUCUAAAUAGCCCAACAAUUAUUAUUUUACACCGACUGACAUUUACCAACUGUGUCAAAGCUACAUGAGCUAGGUAGAUACUGCUGGAACUUUAACAGGCAUCAAGCAAGUCUAUAGAAGCACUGAGCUGUGCCACUACCCAGUGUUCUUCCAGA